This 460-nucleotide ribosomal RNA is filed under the name uncultured bacterium. Its description in RNAcentral is "partial 16S ribosomal RNA". It matches the Rfam family "Bacterial small subunit ribosomal RNA", at positions 338 to 795 of the family's 1533-position model. The record is from RNAcentral.
CCUACGGGAGGCAGCAGUGAGGAAUAUUGGUCAAUGGACGAGAGUCUGAACCAGCCAAGUAGCGUGAAGGAUGACAGCCCUAUGGGUUGUAAACUUCUUUUAUAAAGGAAUAAAACGAGGCACGUGUGCCGUUUUGCAUGUACUUUAUGAAUAAGGAUCGGCUAACUCCGUGCCAGCAGCCGCGGUAAUACGGAGGAUCCGAGCGUUAUCCGGAUUUAUUGGGUUUAAAGGGAGCGUAGAUGGGUUGGUAAGUCAGUGGUGAAAGUUUGCGGCUCAACCGUAAAAGUGCAAGUGAUACUGGCAGUCUUGAGUACAGUUGAGGUAGGUGGAAUUCGUGGUGUAGCGGUGAAAUGCUUAGAUAUCACGAAGAACCCCGAUUGCGAAGGCAGCUUACUAACCUGUGACUGACGUUGAUGCUCGAAAGUGUGGGUAUCAAACAGGAUUAGAUACCCCUGUAGUC